UACAGAGGAGCCAAGCGUUGUCCGGAUUGACUGGGCGUAAAGCGCACGCAGGCGGCUGCGCGCGUGGGGUGUGAAAUCUGGCCGCUUAACGGCCAGGCGCCAUCCCAUACGGCGCGGCUUGAGCCUUGUAGAGGGCGGUGGAAUUGCCGGUGUAGUGGUGAAAUGCGUAGAGAUCAGGAAGAACAUCGGUGGCGAAGGCGCUCUGCUGGACCAUAACUGACACUCAGGGACGAAAGCUAGGGGAGCGAAUGGG
RNAcentral lists this ribosomal RNA (253 nucleotides) under uncultured bacterium. RNAcentral's name for it is "partial 16S ribosomal RNA". It matches the Rfam family "Bacterial small subunit ribosomal RNA", at positions 524 to 776 of the family's 1533-position model. The record is from RNAcentral.